GUUAUUUGCAACCCUGAAUCUACAAAUCUGUAUCUUUUAUCAAUAUAUUUCCAUUUCUUGUCCGACUGUGAGCUCGAAGUGAAUUAAUCCCAACCGGAAAUACGACUGAAAACCGUCAAAACAAUGCGGCGUUUGUAUCGUAUAACCCUGGAAAGGCCAGAAAUGGAUUCGCAAGGUCAAAUUGCACCUACACGCGUGAGUUUGACGUCAUCCCGGCCAAAGGAGCUUCUUAUUGGCCAAUUAUUGCGCAAUGUACGCAAGUGCGAGUAAAACCCAAUAUCUUGAAAAAUUCAAAAUAAAUAUUUCUAGUCGGCGUAUACAUACGAAACUUUCUACACGAAAGCGCUUGAAUACAGA
Molecule: non-coding RNA, 357 nt
Organism: Paramuricea clavata
Lineage: Eukaryota; Metazoa; Cnidaria; Anthozoa; Malacalcyonacea; Plexauridae
Source: the annotation of a GenBank genome assembly